Molecule: ribosomal RNA, 975 nt
Filed under: Pseudomonas rhodesiae
Lineage: Bacteria; Pseudomonadati; Pseudomonadota; Gammaproteobacteria; Pseudomonadales; Pseudomonadaceae
Description: bacterial SSU rRNA
Rfam family: Bacterial small subunit ribosomal RNA
Source: RNAcentral
AGAAGCUUGCUUCAUCUUGAGAGCGGCGGACGGGUGAGUAAUGCCUAGGAAUCUGCCUGGUAGUGGGGGAUAACGUUCGGAAACGAACGCUAAUACCGCAUACGUCCUACGGGAGAAAGCAGGGGACCUUCGGGCCUUGCGCUAUCAGAUGAGCCUAGGUCGGAUUAGCUAGUUGGUGGGGUAAUGGCUCACCAAGGCGACGAUCCGUAACUGGUCUGAGAGGAUGAUCAGUCACACUGGAACUGAGACACGGUCCAGACUCCUACGGGAGGCAGCAGUGGGGAAUAUUGGACAAUGGGCGAAAGCCUGAUCCAGCCAUGCCGCGUGUGUGAAGAAGGUCUUCGGAUUGUAAAGCACUUUAAGUUGGGAGGAAGGGCCAUUACCUAAUACGUGAUGGUUUUGACGUUACCGACAGAAUAAGCACCGGCUAACUCUGUGCCAGCAGCCGCGGUAAUACAGAGGGUGCAAGCGUUAAUCGGAAUUACUGGGCGUAAAGCGCGCGUAGGUGGUUUGUUAAGUUGGAUGUGAAAUCCCCGGGCUCAACCUGGGAACUGCAUUCAAAACUGACUGACUAGAGUAUGGUAGAGGGUGGUGGAAUUUCCUGUGUAGCGGUGAAAUGCGUAGAUAUAGGAAGGAACACCAGUGGCGAAGGCGACCACCUGGACUGAUACUGACACUGAGGUGCGAAAGCGUGGGGAGCAAACAGGAUUAGAUACCCUGGUAGUCCACGCCGUAAACGAUGUCAACUAGCCGUUGGGAGCCUUGAGCUCUUAGUGGCGCAGCUAACGCAUUAAGUUGACCGCCUGGGGAGUACGGCCGCAAGGUUAAAACUCAAAUGAAUUGACGGGGGCCCGCACAAGCGGUGGAGCAUGUGGUUUAUUUCGAAGCAACGCGAAGAACCUUACCAGGCCUUGACAUCCAAUGAACUUUCUAGAGAUAGAUUGGUGCCUUCGGGAACAUUGAGACAGGUGCUGC